Molecule: ribosomal RNA, 1387 nt
Filed under: Nothocladus theaquus
Lineage: Eukaryota; Rhodophyta; Florideophyceae; Batrachospermales; Batrachospermaceae
Description: eukaryotic LSU rRNA
Rfam family: Eukaryotic large subunit ribosomal RNA
Source: RNAcentral
GAAAAGAAACUAACAAGGAUUCCCCUAGUAGCGGCGAGCGAAGCGGGAAGAGCCCGGGAUGAAAAUCUCUUCGGAGAGUUGUAGUCUGAGCUCCCUUGGGCGGUCAGUGUGGGUAAAUCGUCUGGGAUGACGUGCCAGGGAGGGUGAGAGCCCCGUCCACCCCACACAGGACCCGCCCGCACGAGGGCGCUUCAACCGAGUCGGGUAGCUUGGGAAUGCUGCUCCAAUUGGUGGUAAAUCUCAUCAAAGGCUAAAUAACGGUGGGAGACCGAUAGCGAACAAGUACCGUGAGGGAAAGAUGGAAAGAACUUUGAAAAGAGAGUGAAAAGCGCUUGAAACCGUCACGGGGGAAGCGGAUUGCGUGAGUGGUGGCCUGCACUGUUCAGCUCAAAAGUGGAGUGUAUUCUGUGCAUGCCGGGCGUGUGUGGCUGGGGUGCGUGCGACUUUUGGCACGCGUUCCUGGUGAGGGCUCCCUGCCUGUCAGGUGAGGACACACGCGAAAUGACGCAAUACGACCCGUCUUGAAACACGGACCAAGGAGUCUAGCACGGCUGCGAGUCGAAGGGUGUGAAAACCCAGAGGGCGCAGUGAAAGCGAAAGAAAGCAAAUUGGGGAGGCGUUGCGGUUCUACCAAAAUGUCCUACCUCGAGCACCUGUGCUGGGACCCGAAAGAUGGUGAACUAUGCCGGAGUAGGGCAAAGCCAGAGGAAACUCUGGUGGAGGCUCGUAGCGAUGCUGACGUGCAAAUCGCUCGUCGAACUUGGGUAUAGGGGCGAAAGACUAAUCGAACCAUCUAGUAGCUGGUUCCCUCCGAAGUUUCUCUCAGGAUAGCGGGCCGACGACAUGUUGUUUUGUGCGGUAAAGCGAAUGAUUAGUGCAUUUGGGGGCCGAAGGCCUUCAGGCGAUUCUCAAACUUUAAAUGCGCAAGGGGGCGGCUGCUUAAUUGAGCCUGCUCUUUGAAAAACGUCGGCCCUGUGGGCCACUUUUGGUAAGCAGAACUGGCGAUAAGGGAUGAACCUUAAGCACGGUUAAGGCGCCGCAUUGCCCGCUUAUAGACCCCACAAAAGGUGUUGAUUCAUCCAGACAGCAGGACGGUGGCCAUGGAAGUCGGAAUCCGCUAAGGAGUGUGUAACAACUCACCUGCCGAAUGAAUUAGCCCUGAAAAUGGAUGGCGCUGAAGCGGGCAGCCGACACCGUGCCGUUCGGGCGAGACGAAGCCCGGAUGAGUAGGAGGGCGUGGCGGUCAGUGACGCAGGCGUGGGUGCAGACCCCGCUGAAACGGCCGCUAGUGCAGAUCUUGGUGGUAGUAGCAAAUAUUCAAGCGAGAUCCUUGAAGGGCGAAGCGGGGAAGGGUUCCACGCGAACAUUGAUUGGGCGUGGGUGAGUC